This 322-nucleotide long non-coding RNA is filed under the name Salmo salar (Atlantic salmon). RNAcentral describes it as "lncRNA (ENSSSAG00000114323.1)". Lineage: Eukaryota; Metazoa; Chordata; Actinopteri; Salmoniformes; Salmonidae. The record is from RNAcentral.
UGAACAACUGGCACACAGCUCAGACACCCAUACAUACCCCACAAGACAUGCCACCAGAGGUCUGUUUAAACUACUGGCACACAGCUCAGACACCCAUCCAUACCCCACAAGACAUGCCACCAGAGGUCUGUUUAAACUACUGGCACACAGCUCAGACACCCAUACAUACCCCACAAGACAUGCCACCAGAGGUCUGUUUAAACUACUGGCACACAGCUCAGACACCCAUACAUACCCCACAAGACAUGCCACCAGAGGUCUGUUUAAACUACUGGCACACAGCUCAGACACCCAUACAUACCCCACAAGACAUGCCACCAGA